This 465-nucleotide ribosomal RNA is filed under the name uncultured Klebsiella sp. Its description in RNAcentral is "bacterial SSU rRNA". It matches the Rfam family "Bacterial small subunit ribosomal RNA", at positions 338 to 795 of the family's 1533-position model. Lineage: Bacteria; Pseudomonadati; Pseudomonadota; Gammaproteobacteria; Enterobacterales; Enterobacteriaceae. The record is from RNAcentral.
CCUACGGGUGGCAGCAGUGGGGAAUAUUGCACAAUGGGCGCAAGCCUGAUGCAGCCAUGCCGCGUGUGUGAAGAAGGCCUUCGGGUUGUAAAGCACUUUCAGCGGGGAGGAAGGCGGUGAGGUUAAUAACCUCAUCGAUUGACGUUUCCCGCAGAAGAAGCACCGGCUAACUCCGUGCCAGCAGCCGCGGUAAUACGGAGGGUGCAAGCGUUAAUCGGAAUUACUGGGCGUAAAGCGCACGCAGGCGGUCUGUCAAGUCGGAUGUGAAAUCCCCGGGCUCAACCUGGGAACUGCAUUCGAAACUGGCAGGCUAGAGUCUUGUAGAGGGGGGUAGAAUUCCAGGUGUAGCAGUGAAAUGCGUAGAGAUCUGGAGGAAUACCGGUGGCGAAGGCGGCCCCCUGGACAAAGACUGACGCUCAGGUGCGAAAGCGUGGGGAGCAAACAGGAUUAGAUACCCCGGUAGUC